RNAcentral lists this ribosomal RNA (486 nucleotides) under uncultured bacterium. RNAcentral's name for it is "bacterial SSU rRNA". It matches the Rfam family "Bacterial small subunit ribosomal RNA", at positions 28 to 497 of the family's 1533-position model. The record is from RNAcentral.
GAUGAACGCUAGCGGCAGGCUUAAUACAUGCAAGUCGAGGGGCAUCAAGGUACACGAAAGUGUAUUGUUGGCGACCGGCGGACGGGUGAGUAAUAGGUAGGUAACCUACCUCAUACUGAGGCAUAGCUGGGAGAAAUUCCAGGUAAUUCCUCAUGAGGUUAUAUGACACAUGUGAUAUAAUCAAAGGUAUCGCAAGGUACUGGUAUGAGAUGGGCUUACUGACCAUUAGCUAGUUGGUGAGAUAAGAGCUCACCAAGGCGAAGAUGGUUAGGGGUUUUGAGAGAGAGAUCCCCCACAUUGGAACUGAGAUACGGUCCAGACUCCUACGGGAGGCAGCAGUAGGGAAUAUUGGGCAAUGGGCGGAAGCCUGACCCAGCCAUGCCGCGUGAAGGAGACGGCCUUAUGGGUUGUAAACUUCUUUACUAUGCGACUAACUAGAUUUACGAGAUAAUUCUAUAGAAUGUAGCAUAGACAAAAAGCACCGGA